Molecule: ribosomal RNA, 282 nt
Filed under: Acantholaimus sp. K11
Lineage: Eukaryota; Metazoa; Nematoda; Chromadorea; Chromadorida; Chromadoridae
Description: partial 18S ribosomal RNA
Rfam family: Eukaryotic small subunit ribosomal RNA
Source: RNAcentral
CAACAGCCGUUGUUUAUUAGAUCUUAUAUCCUACUUGGAUAACUGUGGUAAUUCUAGAGCUAAUACAUGCAACAAUACCCAGACCUCACGGAAUGGGUGCACUUAUUAGACUAAAACCAAUCGGACUUCGGUCCGCCAAAUGGUGAAUCUGAAUAACUCAGCUGAUCGCAUGGUCUUUGCACCAGCGACAGAUCUUUCAAAUGUCUGUCCUAUCAACUUUCGAUGGUAGUUUACACGCCUACCAUGGUUGUUACGGGUAACGGAGAAUUUGGGUUCGACUCC